GAUCAUGCAUUCACGCCACUCACGGUGAACCGGCGGCCGGCCGAUCGGCGGAGGAUGGCGGCCGCGGCGGGGGACUCGUCGGAGCCGAAGGCGAGCAUCGGCGCGGGCAGCUGCUGGUCGCCACCAUCCACCUCGGUCUCGGAAUCGGUUUUAUUUUCGCCCACCCAUUUGCCUUCCACUGUUUAGGGAAAAGAAGAGCCUUGAUCUCGCCAUGUUGCAUUUGCUUUCCUUCAUCCAGUGGUUAUCUGCAUGAAGUAACUUCGAUGCUUACAGAACGAGCACUUCGUGAUUGUUCGUAUGGAAGCUAUGUUAACACAUCAACCUGCAAUUGCGUGCAACAGUGGUGGUCAUGGAAGUUGUAAAUGCAUUAAUGGGGUUUCUCUAUGAGGCCUCCUGGUUAAAUCCUUGAAAGAAUGUCUGGUAAAUGAUCAUAAUAUAACAAUUUUGAUGGGAGGAAAUAAGAACAGAGCAUUGUGGUGCAGGAACAAUUGCUAGCUCCUCAGCUGCUUUAUUCUUAACCUUUACCAUCAGAUGGUUUGAUAGCAUAUAAUUUGACUUAUCACAUACAGUAUGAAAGAAUUUUCCAGGCUAGACAUCAAUUUCCUGAAGUUCUAGACAUAGCUAGAGAGUCAGCAACAACAACAAUCAUUACAAUUCAGUCAGUUCAGCUAUUGUGAGUAAACCAAAUUGCAUGGUACUUAUGGGUCUGUCCAUCUUUCGUACUACUAGGUUGUGUCUAAUCCAGGAUUAGGUUGCUAUAUUUUGGGAUAGAGGGAGUUCGCAUUAAAUCUGGACUUCUAGAUUAUGAAGUUCCGGACGUAACACUUAUCAACUGGAAUGAUUAAAAUACCUAGAGAACUCACUUAUUAAUCUCUAUCUAUCUUCUGUUAUUCUGCCAUGCUGUUAGGACUUAGGAUGGACCAAUAUCAUCUGCUAUUCCUGCACCUGAGCUAGAAUGUCUUAGAAAUGAAUAUGAUACUAGCUUGAGUUUUUUUUAAAAAAACUGUUUGGUUUCCUUCGUGUCCUAUCUUUGUUAUUAUGGGCAUGAAUCCAUAACAUUUCUUGAGUGGCUAUUUCUAAGUGGAGUUCUCUUGCCGCCAAUCUUUUUCCAAUGGAAAGUUGACUAGCUGACAGUUUAUUGUUCUAUGGUAUACUAUUUUGGUAUUUAUACCAUGUUAUUUUAUCCAAAUCUUUUCUUGGAUGUUCCAAUGCCAAAUACUUCUUAUGGUUUUCUAAUUCUAUAUCUGGGACAUCCAGAAUACUCAUACCUUGUUGUACCUGUACGGUCUUAUUAUGGGUAGAUCCCUGCUAUGCUAUUUCACAAUUAAUUUGAUGUUUUGGCCUAUCACUUCAUAUUAUUGUUCGAGACAAAGGACAAUUUGCAAAGAAAUAGUUGGUGUACUAUUGAUAAAUUAAUGCAAUUUAUGUUUCCUCCAUGUAGGUUGCAUAAGAGCACAGUUUUCUGAUAAAAGAUUUUACAAAACUGCAAAAGUUGCAAGUCAGAGACUCGGAGUAUUACUGAACUUUGCUGAUCGUACCACAAUAGAUCUGCUGGCUUUUGCCCUUCAAGACCCAAGAGGGCUAGCUUGAUGGGAGACUAAUCAAGUCCAAGAUUCCUUUUUCACGGAUGGAUGGUCCCAGUUGAGUGGACCUUUUGGUGGGAAGCGGACAAACUAAAGCAGAUGCUAACAAGCUGUUUCGUCAAAGAUUGGUUCCUACCUGUCUUCCCCGCAGGUUAGCAGCAGAAAACAACGGGGCCGCAUUUCGGCACACUGCAUCCAUCAAGGAACUGUUGAGUUUGACUUGCCAGUAGAAGAGCCUACGGAGUUAUUGCAGCUGCAGCUACAACUAGGCAACACCAUUCUAGACCCUCUUCAUUACUGCACAUGCAGGACUGCUCACUAACAUGUGGGACCGAUGGUCAGUGGACAAUGGGACACAUAUUAUUGUUGGCUUGUAAUUGUAGUAAAUGGGUAGCCGAAUAGGCCCUGUAUAGAAUGAUAGAAUAAUUUUUGGGAGUAGAUUACAUGCACGUGAAAAUUUAUUAAACUUCAGUAUAACUAUCGUUUUGUUAUUAUAUAUGGGUUUAGUUUAAUUUUGAUUU
This 2104-nucleotide small RNA is filed under the name Oryza sativa Japonica Group (Japanese rice). RNAcentral describes it as "sRNA Os02g0690300". The record is from RNAcentral. Lineage: Eukaryota; Viridiplantae; Streptophyta; Magnoliopsida; Poales; Poaceae.